This is a long non-coding RNA of Gasterosteus aculeatus aculeatus (three-spined stickleback), 1647 nucleotides long. Lineage: Eukaryota; Metazoa; Chordata; Actinopteri; Perciformes; Gasterosteidae. The record is from Ensembl.
AGCUUCCCUCCACGCGUCAACAUCUCAAAACCCAAACAGAAGGUGUUCCGAGUGCAGACAGCGGGCAGGUGUGACCUCAGCUUGAAGCACAUCCAGCUGUGUGAUGCGGGUCUACCUGUAGGAGACCACCCUACCUGUGCAGUUGGGUCCGUAGUGCCUGAGGGAGCACAGGUUGCAGGCUUUGCCCACGAAGCCCUCGUGGCACAGACAGCGACCCGAACCCUUCAUUCCGUCGUCGCAGACACCAUGGUCACCGCAUGGGGCCUCCAGGCCACCUGGACACACUGGAACAAAAGGGAGAAGAGGCGGAGUCAAGUGAGAAAAAACCAAAAGAGACGCUGACGUCUUGAUUUGUUAAACACGGGCGUAACCAGAGAUGCAAUGUGACCCCCAGAGGAUGAAGUCUAGGUAUGACCGGCCCUUUGUGGUGCCCUUGAGACCUCUUGGCAUUAGAAGCUCCACAAAGGGUCAGGCCUUAAGAAUGAACACCGGAGAAGCAAGAGGACACACGAUUUGUGUGGAUCAGAUCAUCCCCACCUUGACAGUCUCGACCGUAGUGGUUCUUACAGCACUUCUGGACCCAGGAAGAAAACUGACAUGUUUUCUUACAGCCCAUCAUUCUGGUAUGAUCAUUGAUGAGGUACCAAGGUGGGUAGCGGCGCCCAAACGAGGAGAACCUGUUAUAACAAAGCUCCGUCUUUCCCUGAAUGAAAGCAGGAUUUACAUGAAUCUCUGUGCAUGGUAAAAAAGCUGCCAAUGCCGAGGUUUCUCUUCCACGUCUUACCGUGUCCAGGUGUCUGAAGGGACAGGCCGGGGGGAAGGGGCAGCGUCCACAGCGACCCUGAGACGUUUUAAGACACAAAGCUUCAGUCCAGCGCUCAAGACAAGGGAUAUCUCCUGAUCUCCACGGACUACUUUUGAGCCAGUAACAGUCUUUAUUUCAUUACGCUGGUGGUUCUGUUCUCCGGGCUGUCGCAGAACGCUCCCAGGCCCGGUGGUUCCAGGAGCUGGUCGAUGCCGUAGGCCACGCCCUCCUUGAAGUUCAUGUAGCGCUCCACCACCUUGGCUGCGUUGUCGUUAAUCAAUACAGCCCCCUGAACACACACACACACACACACACACACACACACAGAUUGUUCUGUGGUCAUUUGAUUGGUAUAAAAGAAGAAUGUUGCUAGCUGUUAUUGUUAACAGCUGUUUACCAUAUAAUAUUAAAUGUAACAUGAUAUAAUAUAGUGUAUCUCGGAUAAUGUUAUAUAAUAAUAAUAGUAACAUAGUAUAGUAUAUUAUCAAGCCACCUGUGUGAGAUCCUUUGCUAAUACGGAGGCACAUCACCUCCAAACCGUACACUGAUCCUUCAGAAAGGCAAACAAUGGCGUAUUGUGUAACCUAGCAACCGCACAGCAUCUCCUGCGCCGAGUUACAGUAUCGGUCAUAAUCACGUCAUCGUUCCCCUCCAGCCUCUCUGAACUGUGCGCUUGGCAGGUGUCUCACCACCAGGGUCCGGUCACAGCUGUACUUGAUGGUGGAUCCGUGCAUGCUGCGCAGCUUUGAGAUUUUGUCCGGCUGACCGAUACCCAGCACCUAAACACACACAUGGGAAACCAUGAGGCCCUGACAUACGACCCCUUCAAGCAUUAGUAUGUU